GACAGAGGUGCCAAGCGUUAGGCGGAAUCACUGGGCUUAAAGCGUGUGUAGGCGGAUCGUUAAGUACCUUGUGAAAUCCCACGGCUCAACCGUGGAACUGCUGGGUAUACUGGCGAUCUUGAGCCACCUAGGGGCGAGCGGAACAAGCGGUGGAGCGGUGAAAUGCGUAGAUAUCGCUUGGAACGCCAAUGGUGAAAACAGCUCGCUGGGGGUGUGCUGACGCUGGGACACGAAAGCCAGGGGAGCGAACGGG
This 253-nucleotide ribosomal RNA is filed under the name uncultured bacterium. Its description in RNAcentral is "partial 16S ribosomal RNA". It matches the Rfam family "Bacterial small subunit ribosomal RNA", at positions 524 to 776 of the family's 1533-position model. The record is from RNAcentral.